This 425-nucleotide ribosomal RNA is filed under the name uncultured bacterium. RNAcentral describes it as "bacterial SSU rRNA". It matches the Rfam family "Bacterial small subunit ribosomal RNA", at positions 359 to 776 of the family's 1533-position model. The record is from RNAcentral.
GAAUUUUGGACAAUGGGCGCAAGCCUGAUCCAGCCAUGCCGCGUGAGUGAAGAAGGCCUUCGGGUUGUAAAGCUCUUUCGGCGGGGACGAAACGGUCCGUGCUAACACCACGGACUAAUGACGGUACUCGCAGAAGAAGCACCGGCUAACCCCGUGCCAGCCGCCGCGGUAAUACGGAGGGUGCGAGCGUUAAUCGGAAUUACUGGGCGUAAAGCGCGCGUAGGCGGCGUGAUAAGCCGGUUGUGAAAGCCCCGGGCUCAACCUGGGAACGGCAUCCGGAACUGUCAGGCUAGAGUGCAGGAGAGGAAGGUAGAAUUCCCGGUGUAGCGGUGAAAUGCGUAGAGAUCGGGAGGAAUACCAGUGGCGAAGGCGGCCUUCUGGACUGACACUGACGCUGAGGUGCGAAAGCGUGGGUAGCAAACAGG